UCUCUCUCUCUCUCUCUCUCUCUCUCUCUCUCUCUCUCUCUCUCUGUGUUUCGUUUGCUCAUCCAUCCGAAAUCAACAGGUCCUUCAAUGGAGCAUUCCACUCCCAGGGCCAUCACCUCCAUCUUAGUGUCAGCUCUCCUGGUAUCUCCAUCCCACUGCAGAGAAGUCCCAGUCCGCCAUCAUCCAAGCACAGGCGGAGAUGGUGAGGUGAGCACACAAGGAUCUGUGAGCCUGGGCAGGGAGUCACUGCUCACGCCACCUUCUCCUACAGCCAACAUGAGCCCCCCUGGAGGACCCUCCAGGUGAGCCAUGGCAUGGAGCUUCCUUCAAGGGUCUGCUUGCUUGCAUUACUACUACUCGUUCGUCUGUUUCAGUUUCUGUCUCAAUAAGAACUGUCGUAGAAGGCAGUGAACAUGAGUGUUAAAAUGUUUCUUGUGGAUCCGAGUAACCUUAAUCAUACUUGGGAGUCUCAGUUCAAGUUCUUUA
Molecule: long non-coding RNA, 486 nt
Organism: Musa acuminata AAA Group (dessert banana)
Lineage: Eukaryota; Viridiplantae; Streptophyta; Magnoliopsida; Zingiberales; Musaceae
Exons: 2
Source: RefSeq, a predicted model, not a curated record